Molecule: ribosomal RNA, 465 nt
Filed under: Vreelandella stevensii
Lineage: Bacteria; Pseudomonadati; Pseudomonadota; Gammaproteobacteria; Oceanospirillales; Halomonadaceae
Description: partial 16S ribosomal RNA
Rfam family: Bacterial small subunit ribosomal RNA
Source: RNAcentral
CCUACGGGUGGCAGCAGUGGGGAAUAUUGGACAAUGGGGGCAACCCUGAUCCAGCCAUGCCGCGUGUGUGAAGAAGGCCCUCGGGUUGUAAAGCACUUUCAGUGAGGAAGAACGCCUGGUGGUUAAUACCCAUCAGGAAAGACAUCACUCACAGAAGAAGCACCGGCUAACUCCGUGCCAGCAGCCGCGGUAAUACGGAGGGUGCGAGCGUUAAUCGGAAUUACUGGGCGUAAAGCGCGCGUAGGUGGCUUGAUAAGCCGGUUGUGAAAGCCCCGGGCUCAACCUGGGAACGGCAUCCGGAACUGUCAAGCUAGAGUGCAGGAGAGGAAGGUAGAAUUCCCGGUGUAGCGGUGAAAUGCGUAGAGAUCGGGAGGAAUACCAGUGGCGAAGGCGGCCUUCUGGACUGACACUGACACUGAGGUGCGAAAGCGUGGGUAGCAAACAGGAUUAGAUACCCCUGUAGUC